RNAcentral lists this long non-coding RNA (519 nucleotides) under Ananas comosus (pineapple). Its description in RNAcentral is "long non-coding RNA (ACOM_LNC003470)". Lineage: Eukaryota; Viridiplantae; Streptophyta; Magnoliopsida; Poales; Bromeliaceae. The record is from RNAcentral.
GAAAAGAGAUAAACUCGAUGAUUGUUAAAGACGUAACGAGUGGCAUAUAACUUAGUAUAAAUGACACUAGCGGCAUGUGAACUUAGGGAUAGGUGGAUUCCCUAGUAAAUGACUCGUUGGACAAGAACAUAAUGUAGCCAAACAUUCGUAUUUGGACUUUGGGAUAGGUGGAUUCCCGAGUGACUUGUAGCCCUAGCCAGUAGGGUAUCCUCGAGUUGAGAGGAUUGAUCAUACUCACAGUCUGUUCAUACUUGUGGUGGUCGCACCACCCAGGUCUUCGUGCACUCCGGAGUUUUGGCAAAGUUGAUGCCCUGUAGGCGGCAUCGGGUUUGAGAGCGAGGUGAGUCUCCUUACCAUACGAGGUUUGAGGUGAGUCGUGGACGAACCCGAGUGGAUCGCCAAGGAUUGAUUGAACAUGAGAAUGACAUCGUUACUUGAACAUUUGCUUAUUGAACAUGGAUAGUGGACAUAGUGGCAUGUUAGUAAACCAUUUACUAUAUGAUGCAUGCAUAUAUGACA